Molecule: long non-coding RNA, 521 nt
Filed under: Anser brachyrhynchus (Pink-footed goose)
Lineage: Eukaryota; Metazoa; Chordata; Aves; Anseriformes; Anatidae
Description: lncRNA (ENSABRG00000002804.1)
Source: RNAcentral
CCCUCCAAAUCACUUUCUUAACUUUUCCUAUAAUUCAAAAGCUGCAUUUCUCACAGCUCACGUCUCAGAGUGGACCAGCAGAGGUGACUGGGCAUAUAAGAAUAACACUGGACAGAAGGCUGGUACAGCAUCAAAGACCAUCUGUGCUGAUGGGUGGAGGUGCACAGGCCUCUGCUGGCCAGGACAGCAGCAUCAGUCCAGCACCAGAUGAGCACAUCUUCACUGCUUGGAUAGAGACUGGACCAACCCUUGAUUUGUGGAAAUGGUCCUCUCCUGCUUCAUCGUGAGGUGUGUUGUUGAAGAAGUAUGUGAGAGCAGAAAAGAGUUAAAAUAGCAUUGUCAUCCCCUGAAUAGAACAUACCUAGGUAAGUGAAGCACAGCUGUGACAUUCACCUGCAACACAACCGAGAGCAUCAGUAAAGCGAAGAGGACAGAGCGUUGCAGCAGCUCUUGCAUUUAGUAAGCAUGGUAAUAACAAUGACGAACAUCACUCUUUUCCUGAGAACAGAGAUAGGGAUGGG